CUACGGGGUGCUGCAGUGAGGAAUUUUGCGCAAUGGGGGAAACCCUGACGCAGCAACGCCGCGUGAGUGAAGAAGGCUUUCGGGUCGUAAAGCUCUGUCAAGUGGGAAGAACCUGCAAGACGUUAAUAUCGUUUUGCACUGACGGUACCACUGAAGGAAGCACCGGCUAACUCCGUGCCAGCAGCCGCGGUAAUACGGGGGGUGCAUGCGUUAUUCGGAAUCAUUGGGCGUAAAGAGCGCGUAGGCGGUCUUGUAAGUCAGAUGUGAAAGCCCGGGGCUCAACCCCGGAAGUGCAUUUGAUACUGUGAGACUUGAGUAUGGGAGAGGGAAGUGGAAUUCCUGGUGUAGAGGUGAAAUUCGUAGAUAUCAGGAGGAACACCGGUGGCGAAGGCGACUUCCUGGACCAAUACUGACGCUGAGGCGCGAAGGCGUGGGUAGCAAACAGGAUUAGAUACCCUCGUAGUC
This 465-nucleotide ribosomal RNA is filed under the name uncultured bacterium. RNAcentral's name for it is "partial 16S ribosomal RNA". It matches the Rfam family "Bacterial small subunit ribosomal RNA", at positions 339 to 795 of the family's 1533-position model. The record is from RNAcentral.